This 253-nucleotide ribosomal RNA is filed under the name uncultured bacterium. RNAcentral describes it as "partial 16S ribosomal RNA". It matches the Rfam family "Bacterial small subunit ribosomal RNA", at positions 524 to 776 of the family's 1533-position model. The record is from RNAcentral.
UACGAAGGGGACAAGCGUUGUUCGGAAUUAUUGGGCGUAAAGGGCGCGUAGGCGGACUUGUAUGUCGAUUGUGAAAUCCCUGGGCUUAACCCGGGAACUGCAGUCGAAACUGCAAGUCUUGAAUGCUCGAGAGGAUGGUAGAAUUCCUGGUGUAGAGGUGAAAUUCGUAGAUAUCAGGAGGAAUACCGGAGGCGAAAGCGGCCAUCUGGCGAGACAUUGACGCUGAGGCGCGAAAGCGUGGGGAUCAAACAGG